This 384-nucleotide ribosomal RNA is filed under the name uncultured bacterium. RNAcentral's name for it is "bacterial SSU rRNA". It matches the Rfam family "Bacterial small subunit ribosomal RNA", at positions 28 to 414 of the family's 1533-position model. The record is from RNAcentral.
GACGAACGCUGGCGGCGUGCUUAACACAUGCAAGUCGAGCGGUAAGGCCCUUUCGGGGGUACACGAGCGGCGAACGGGUGAGUAACACGUGGGUGACCUGCCCUCAGCUCUGGGAUAAGCCUGGGAAACCGGGUCUAAUACUGGAUAUGACUCCAUGACGCAUGUUGUGGGGUGAAAGCCUUGUGCGGCUGAGGAUGGGCCCGCGGCCUAUCCAGCUUGUUGGUGGGGUNAGGCCUACCGAAGGCGACGACGGGUAGCCGGCCUGAGAGGGCGACCGGCCACACUGGGACUGAGACACGGCCCAGACUCCUACGGGAGGCAGCAGUGGGGAAUCUUGCGCAAUGGGCGAAAGCCUGACGCAGCGACGCGCGUGAGGGAUGACGG